AGAACGAACGCUGGCGGCAGGCUUAACACAUGCAAGUCGAACGCCCCGCAAGGGGAGUGGCAGACGGGUGAGUAACACGUGGGAACGUGCCCUAAGGUUCGGAACAACUCCGGGAAACUGGAGCUAAUACCGAAUGUGUCCGUAAGGAGAAAGAUUUAUCGCCUUAGGAUCGGCCCGCGUCGGAUUAGCUAGUUGGUGGGGUAAUGGCCUACCAAGGCGACGAUCCGUAGCUGGUCUGAGAGGACGACCAGCCACACUGGGACUGAGACACGGCCCAGACUCCUACGGGAGGCAGCAGUGGGGAAUCUUGGACAAUGGGCGCAAGCCUGAUCCAGCCAUGCCGCGUGGAUGAUGAAGGCCUUAGGGUUGUAAAUCCUUUCGCCGAGGACGAUAAUGACGGUACUCGGAGAAGAGCUCCGGCUAACUUCGCGCCAGCAGCCGC
RNAcentral lists this ribosomal RNA (442 nucleotides) under uncultured bacterium. RNAcentral describes it as "SSU rRNA". It matches the Rfam family "Bacterial small subunit ribosomal RNA", at positions 26 to 518 of the family's 1533-position model. The record is from RNAcentral.